GGAAGGUGGCUCAGUGGUAGAGUGCUUGCCUUGCAUGCAUGAGGCCCUGGGUUCGAUUCCCAAGCAUCCA
RNAcentral lists this transfer RNA (70 nucleotides) under Dipodomys ordii (Ord's kangaroo rat). It matches the Rfam family "tRNA". From Rfam's summary of the family: Transfer RNA (tRNA) molecules are approximately 80 nucleotides in length. The record is from Rfam by way of RNAcentral. Lineage: Eukaryota; Metazoa; Chordata; Mammalia; Rodentia; Heteromyidae.